GGAUAAUGCAAGUGUUUAACAGAUGCUUCACUAUUAAAAUAUUUUCCCCCCAAGUCUCAAAUAUUGAAGAAUCUCUAACCAGGGACACCAGUCCCAACGAAGACCUUGGGCGAUUUCAAAGUGCGGGCACCUCGAUUCCCCGAAUCUGUAGUGUGGCUGGUAUCGGUGUUUCCCUGGUUUAACUAGCCUGCUUGUGGAAGUGACUCUGACCGUUCCCUUAAGAAUCUUUAAUGCUCUUACAUGAGAUGAGCCUCAGAACAAGCUAAGAACCCUCUGAAAGAACAUCAAGCCUGGAAGGUGACAGAAGGAGCAAUGUGUUCUUGAAGAUGUCACCUCAGCCCACCUGCUCCAAGAACAGUGCUUCUUGCGACACUCUGAUGGCUCUGCAUUCUUUUCUGUACCAGGAAGGCGCAGAUCAUUCAUGGGGAAGUAAAACCGAAACCAGUCCUCUCCACCCCCUGCGGGUCUUCACUUUCCCAGUCUACAUCUGCCUGUGACUCCAGAAAGACAAACUGCAGAUUGGCCAAGUGCCUUUCAAAUUGUUUUUUACUGGAUGAAGAAACUCAACCAAGAAAAUAUAUGUCAAUUCUUGUAUAUGGGACAAUAUUAGCUGCUGUGAUUUUUAAUACUAGCAUAAAAUAUAAGAAUGUUUUUAUUACUGUGACAUUGUUUUUUUCUAAAUGAAUGCAUAGUGUAACAAUUGGUGUCAAAAAGCAUUGAAUUUUUUUCAAAUGGAUUAAGCUGGAAUAAUAAAGUGUAUCUAUGAGAUGAUUUCUGUAAACUCUGACUUGCUGAGAAAAAAGUGAAAAAGCUUUUUCUGGAAGAAACAUGGCAACUUAACCAUUAUUAAUCUGGACUAAAUAAAACAGGAAACUGCUUCUUUA
RNAcentral lists this non-coding RNA (884 nucleotides) under Pongo abelii (Sumatran orangutan). The record is from RNAcentral. Lineage: Eukaryota; Metazoa; Chordata; Mammalia; Primates; Hominidae.